RNAcentral lists this ribosomal RNA (253 nucleotides) under uncultured bacterium. Its description in RNAcentral is "partial 16S ribosomal RNA". It matches the Rfam family "Bacterial small subunit ribosomal RNA", at positions 524 to 776 of the family's 1533-position model. The record is from RNAcentral.
UACAGAGGUCCCAAGCGUUGUUCGGAUUCACUGGGCGUAAAGGGUGCGUAGGCAGUCGGGUAAGUCUGACGUGAAAUCUUCAAGCUCAACUUGGAAACUGCGUCGGAUACUAUUCGGCUAGAGGAAUGGAGGGGAGACUGGAAUACUUGGUGUAGCAGUGAAAUGCGUAGAUAUCAAGUGGAACACCAGUGGCGAAGGCGAGUCUCUGGACAUUUCCUGACGCUGAGGCACGAAAGCCAGGGGAGCAAACGGG